RNAcentral lists this transfer RNA (72 nucleotides) under Phrynosoma platyrhinos (Desert horned lizard). Its description in RNAcentral is "tRNA-OTHER". The record is from RNAcentral. Lineage: Eukaryota; Metazoa; Chordata; Lepidosauria; Squamata; Phrynosomatidae.
GCCAGCAUGGUGUAGUGGACUGAGUGUUGGACUACAACUCUGGAGACCAGGGUUUGAUUCCCUGAUCAGUCA